AUUUCCAAGGAAGGCAGCAGGCGCGCAACUUACCCAAUCCCGGCACGGGGAGGUAGUGACGAUAAAUACGGAUGCAGAACUCAACAGAGGCUCUGUAAUUCGAAUGAGUACAAUUCAAAUCCUUUAACGAGGAACAACUGGAGGGCAAGUCUGGUGCCAGCAGCCGCGGUAAUUCCAGCUCCACUAGCGUAUAUUAAAAUUGUUGCGGUUAAAACGUUUGAA
This 222-nucleotide ribosomal RNA is filed under the name Plagiorchiida sp. DN1961. RNAcentral's name for it is "partial small subunit ribosomal RNA". It matches the Rfam family "Eukaryotic small subunit ribosomal RNA", at positions 412 to 632 of the family's 1831-position model. The record is from RNAcentral. Lineage: Eukaryota; Metazoa; Platyhelminthes; Trematoda; Plagiorchiida.